Molecule: ribosomal RNA, 484 nt
Filed under: uncultured bacterium
Lineage: Bacteria
Description: partial 16S ribosomal RNA
Rfam family: Bacterial small subunit ribosomal RNA
Source: RNAcentral
AUUGAACGCUGGCGGCAGGCCUAACACAUGCAAGUCGAGCGGAUGAAGGGAGCUUGCUCCUGGAUUCAGCGGCGGACGGGUGAGUAAUGCCUAGGAAUCUGCCUGGUAGUGGGGGAUAACGUCCGGAAACGGGCGCUAAUACCGCAUACGUCCUGAGGGAGAAAGUGGGGGAUCUUCGGACCUCACGCUAUCAGAUGAGCCUAGGUCGGAUUAGCUAGUUGGUGGGGUAAAGGCCUACCAAGGCGACGAUCCGUAACUGGUUUGAGAGGAUGAUCAGUCACACUGGAGCUGAGACACGGUCCAGACUCCUACGGGAGGCAGCAGUGGGGAAUAUUGGACAAUGGGCGAAAGCCUGAUCCAGCCAUGCCGCGUGUGUGAAGAAGGUCUUCGGAUUGUAAAGCACUUUAAGUUGGGAGGAAGGGCAGUAAGUUAAUACCUUGCUGUUUUGACGUUACCAACAGAAUAAGCACCGGCUAACUUCGUG